GAUGAACGCUGGCGGCGUGCCUAAUACAUGCAAGUCGAGCGAACAGACGAGGAGCUUGCUCCUCUGACGUUAGCGGCGGACGGGUGUGUAACACGUGUAUCACCCACCUAUCAGACUGGGAUAACUUCGGGAAACCGGAGCUAAUACCGGAUGAUAUAUUGAACCGCGUGGUUCAAUGGUGAAAUACGGUUUUGCUGUCACUUAUAGAUGGAUCCGCGCCGGAUUAGCUAGUUGGUAAUGUCACGGCUUACCAAGGCAACGAUGCGUGACCGACCGGAGAGGGUGAUAGGCCACACUGGAACUGGAACACGGUCCAGACUCCUACGGGACGCAGCAGUAGGGAAUGGUACGCAGUGGGCGAAAGCAUGACGGAGCGACGCCGCGUGAGUGAUGAAGGUCUUCGGAUCGUAAUGCUCGGUUAUGAGGUAAGAACAAAUGUGUAAGGAAAUAUGCACGUCUUGACGGUAACUAGUCAGAAAGCCACGGCUAACUACGUG
Molecule: ribosomal RNA, 497 nt
Filed under: uncultured bacterium
Lineage: Bacteria
Description: partial 16S ribosomal RNA
Rfam family: Bacterial small subunit ribosomal RNA
Source: RNAcentral